AAUAAACAAGGGUUUGUCUUUGCAAAAUUUGCUAGUAUGAAUGCUGUCAUUUGUUUUCCUUUCCUUUAUUUGGAUAAAUAACUAUCUAUUGUCAAAUUUUGUUAGUCUUGAAAUGAUCCUUGUAUGGUAGUGUCUUAGAUUCUUAUGAUUGUUGCUGACUUCCUGAACUCAUAUCCAUCAUGCUAUAUUUUUCUUAUUUCAUGUUGAAGGCAGGCUUUGUAAUUUAUGAUUUGAGGUAAACACUGCCCAACAUGAAGUUAGUCAUAGGUUCUGCUUUGUAAUUAUACAAUGAAGUUAGGCUAAAACCAAACUAAUUCCUUUAUUGGAGUCGAUAUAUCGACAUUGCUUUUCUGCAGAUCAUUUCACAGAUACCUUGUUUGAAAAUUUUCAAAAUAUGAUUUAAGUUUAAUUCCCAACUUUAAUUGACCAUUUCUUCUUGAUGUUGAAUGAUGGGCAGAUUGAUCUAUCAUAUUAUGAGUUGUUCGGGAGUCUUAAGUUAGUUCUAUUAAAUGGUUCCAAGCUUCCAAGUAAACAAGAGGCACUAAAAGAAUCAGUCAUUGAAAUCUUUAACUGCAAAGAGGGCGAAUUUGCAUACCCUUGGGUUGAGAAAGUCAUUGUGGGACAGGUCUGACAUGAGAGUUUAAGUUGUGUUAUUCUAUAUUAUUUAACUAUUAUCCAUUCUUAUUGUGAUAUUAAUUAUUUAACUGUCUUGCUUUUUCUUGAUUUGUUAUGCCGGUAUCAUUAUAUUUUGAUGAUGUAGUUUUCCCUAAACAUAACUAACUUCUUGGAAUAACUUAUUUUCUAGGAUGUGACUCCCAAUAAGGAGAAUUACUAGCAACCUGAUAGUGUUUAGCAUACCUAGUUAUGUUCAAGUUAUUGAAUAUCUAGUAUAGUUACUUUUGUCUUACUGAGAUAGCAUGUAUUCAAACUUAUUUGAUUCACAGGAGGCCUUAAAGCCAAUGUUAAAGCAUAAAGCUAUCUUUUGCAAACCCUGCUUACCACCCUCUAAAAAUGACAAAUAAUUAAUAAAUAGAUAAAAACAAAAAUAAAAAUAGUCUUACUAAAGUUUCUUUGGACUUUGGUUUGAUUCAAUUAUCAAAUUUUUAGCUCAGC
Molecule: long non-coding RNA, 1113 nt
Organism: Gossypium raimondii (Peruvian cotton)
Lineage: Eukaryota; Viridiplantae; Streptophyta; Magnoliopsida; Malvales; Malvaceae
Exons: 3
Source: RefSeq, a predicted model, not a curated record